GACGAACGCUGGCGGCGUGCCUAAUACAUGCAAGUAGAACGCUGAAGGAGGAGCUUGCUUCUCUGGAUGAGUUGCGAACGGGUGAGUAACGCGUAGGUAACCUGCCUGGUAGCGGGGGAUAACUAUUGGAAACGAUAGCUAAUACCGUAUAAGAGUAGAUGUUGCAUGACAUUUGCUUAAAAGGUGCAAUUGCAUCACUAGCAGAUGGACCUGCGUCGUAUUAGCUAGUUGGUGGGGUAACGGCUCACCAAGGCGACGAUACAUAGCCGACCUGAGAGGGUGAUCGGCCACACUGGGACGGAGACACGGCCCAGACUCCUACGGGAGGCAGCAGUAGGGAAUCUUCGGCAAUGGACGGAAGUCUGACCGAGCAACGCCGCGUGAGUGAAGAAGGUUUUCGGAUCGUAAAGCUCUGUUGUAAGAGAAGAACGAGUGUGAGAGUGGAAAGUUCACACUGUGACGGUAUCUUACCAGAAAGGGACGGCUAACUACGUG
RNAcentral lists this ribosomal RNA (495 nucleotides) under uncultured bacterium. Its description in RNAcentral is "partial 16S ribosomal RNA". It matches the Rfam family "Bacterial small subunit ribosomal RNA", at positions 28 to 507 of the family's 1533-position model. The record is from RNAcentral.